GAUGAAGAACGUAGCGAAAUGCGAUAAGUAAUGCGAAUUGCAGAAUCCGUGAGUCAUCGAAUCUUUGAACGCACAUUGCGCCCCUUGGUUAUUCCGAAGGGCAUGCCUGUUCGAGCGUCAUUAUCACCCCUCAAGCCCUGGCUUGGUGUUGGACUUUAGUUAUAGCUUUGCCUAUCAACUGGUCUCAAAGAUAGUGACGGCGCCCCAGAGGGAACCGGGUACGAGGAGCUUUUUACUAAGCAUGUAUCUGGGACGACUCUGGGCGACGGUCUUGUUAUACUUUUUACCUAAGUGUUGACCUCGGAUCAGGUAGGAAUACCCGCUGAACUUAAGCAUAUCAUAAGCGGAGGA
This 351-nucleotide unclassified non-coding RNA is filed under the name soil metagenome. RNAcentral's name for it is "partial contains 5.8S ribosomal RNA, internal transcribed spacer 2, and large subunit ribosomal RNA". The stretch from base 1 to 120 matches the Rfam family "5.8S ribosomal RNA", at positions 35 to 154 of the family's 154-position model. The record is from RNAcentral.